RNAcentral lists this ribosomal RNA (467 nucleotides) under uncultured bacterium. Its description in RNAcentral is "partial 16S ribosomal RNA". It matches the Rfam family "Bacterial small subunit ribosomal RNA", at positions 29 to 507 of the family's 1533-position model. The record is from RNAcentral.
ACGAACGCUGGCGGCGUGCUUAACACAUGCAAGUCGAACGGAAAGGCCCUGCUUUUGUGGGGUGCUCGAGUGGCGAACGGGGGAGUAACACGUGAGUAACCUGCCCUUGACUUUGGGAUAACUUCAGGAAACUGGGGCUAAUACCGGAUAGGAGCUCCUGCUGCAUGGUGGGGGUUGGAAAGAUUCGGCGGUUGGGGAUGGACUCGCGGCUUAUCAGCUUGUUGGUGGGGUAGUGGCUUACCAAGGCUUUGACGGGUAGCCGGCCUGAGAGGGUGACCGGCCACAUUGGGACUGAGGUACGGCCCAGACUCCUACGGGAGGCAGCAGUGGGGAAUAUUGCACAAUGGGCGGAAGCCUGAUGCAGCAACGCCGCGUGCGGGAUGACGGCCUUCGGGUUGUAAACCGCUUUCGCCUGUGACGAAGCGUGAGUGACGGUAAUGGGUAAAGAAGCACCGGCUAACUACGUG